UAUCACAGUAUUUUUGCUGUUCU
RNAcentral lists this microRNA (23 nucleotides) under Ascaris suum (pig roundworm). Its description in RNAcentral is "Asu-Mir-2-o6_3p (mature (co-guide))". The record is from RNAcentral. Lineage: Eukaryota; Metazoa; Nematoda; Chromadorea; Rhabditida; Ascarididae.